CUAGUAAGAUCCCUGAAAGAUGAUCAGGUUGAUAGGUCAGAGGUGGAAGCGUGGCGACAUGUGUAGCUGACUGAUACUAAUCGAUCGAGGACUUAACCAAA
Molecule: ribosomal RNA, 101 nt
Filed under: Priestia megaterium
Lineage: Bacteria; Bacillati; Bacillota; Bacilli; Caryophanales; Bacillaceae
Also listed under: 1 other name
Description: Bacillus megaterium partial 23S ribosomal RNA
Rfam family: Bacterial large subunit ribosomal RNA
Source: RNAcentral